Molecule: ribosomal RNA, 160 nt
Filed under: Burnettia cuneata
Lineage: Eukaryota; Viridiplantae; Streptophyta; Magnoliopsida; Asparagales; Orchidaceae
Description: 5.8S ribosomal RNA
Rfam family: 5.8S ribosomal RNA
About the family: 5.8S ribosomal RNA (5.8S rRNA) is a component of the large subunit of the eukaryotic ribosome. It is transcribed by RNA polymerase I as part of the 45S precursor that also contains 18S and 28S rRNA. Functionally, it is thought that 5.8S rRNA may be involved in ribosome translocation.
Source: RNAcentral
UAGGACUCUCGGCAAUGGAUAUAUGGUCUUCUUGCAUCGAUGAAGAACGCACCGAAUGUGAUACGUGGUGCGAAUUGCAGAAUCCCUGUGAACCAUCGAGUUUUUGAACGCAAGUUGCGCCUGAGCCAUUGGCCCAGGGCACGUCGCCUGGGCGUCAUGC